CUUUCYUCGGGAAGAAUAAAGUGCNCACGGGUGAGUACACNUAAGUAAUCUACCUUCGAGUGGGGAUAACCCGGGGAAACCCGAGCUAAUACCGAUAACNCAGCGGCAUCNCAAGAUGAACAGUUGUUAAGGAGCAAUCCGCUUGAAGAGGAGCUUGCGGCAGAUUAGCUAGUUGGUAAGGUAAUGGCUACCAAGGCUUCGAUCUGUAUCCGGCUGAGAGGGCGGUCGGCACACUGACACUGAAUAACGGGUCAGACUCCUACGGGAGGCAGCAGUCGGGAAUUUUGGGCAAUGGGCGAAAGCCUGCCCAGCAACGCCGCGUGAAGGAUGAAGUAUUUCGGUAUGUAAACUUCGAAAGAAUGGGAAGAAUCAAUGACGGUACCAUUUAUAAGCUCCGGCUAACCUACGUGCCAGCAGCC
RNAcentral lists this ribosomal RNA (419 nucleotides) under uncultured bacterium. RNAcentral describes it as "bacterial SSU rRNA". It matches the Rfam family "Bacterial small subunit ribosomal RNA", at positions 74 to 516 of the family's 1533-position model. The record is from RNAcentral.